Molecule: ribosomal RNA, 253 nt
Filed under: uncultured bacterium
Lineage: Bacteria
Description: partial 16S ribosomal RNA
Rfam family: Bacterial small subunit ribosomal RNA
Source: RNAcentral
GACGAACCGUGCGAACGUUGUUCGGAAUCACUGGGCUUAAAGGGCGCGUAGGCGGCUCGCCAAGUCGGGGGUGAAAUACUUCAGCUUAACUGGAGAAGUGCCUUCGAAACUGGCGGGCUUGAGGGAGGUAGGGGUCUGUGGAACUUCUGGUGGAGCGGUGAAAUGCGUUGAUAUCAGAAGGAACGCCGGUGGCGAAAGCGACGGACUGGACCUUUUCUGACGCUGAGGCGCGAAAGCUAGGGGAGCAAACGGG